CAGCCGCCGCGGUAAUACGUAGGUGGCAAGCGUUGUCCGGAAUUAUUGGGCGUAAAGGGCUCGCAGGCGGUUUCUUAAGUCUGAUGUGAAAGCCCCGGCUCAACCGGGGAGGGUCAUUGGAAACUGGGAAACUUGGGUGCAGAAGAGGAGAGUGGAAUUCCACGUGUAGCGGUGUAAUGCGUAGAGAUGUGGAGGAACACCAGUGGCGAAGGCGACUCUCUGGUCUGUAACUGACGCUGAGGAGCGAAAGCGUGGGGAGCGAACAGGAUUAGAUACCCGCGUAGUCCCUGUCUCUUAUACA
Molecule: ribosomal RNA, 301 nt
Filed under: uncultured bacterium
Lineage: Bacteria
Description: partial 16S ribosomal RNA
Rfam family: Bacterial small subunit ribosomal RNA
Source: RNAcentral